GAGUUUGAUCAUGGCUCAGAGCGAACGCUGGCGGCAGGCCUAACACAUGCAAGUCGAGCGCCCCGCAAGGGGAGCGGCAGACGGGAGAGUAACACGUGGGAACAUGCCCUUCAGUACGGAACAACCAAGGGAAACUUUGGCUAAUGCCGUAUACGCCCGUAAGGGGAAAGAUUUAUCGCUGAAGGAUUGGCCCGCGUCUGAUUAGCUAGUUGGUGGGGUAAUGGCCCACCAAGGCGACGAUCAGUAGCUGGUCUGAGAGGAUGAUCAGCCUCACUGGGACUGAGACACGGCCCAGACUCCUACGGGAGGCAGCAGUGGGGAAUAUUGGACAAUGGGCGCAAGCCUGAUCCAGCCAUGCCGCGUGAGUGAUGAAGGCCUUAGGGUUGUAAAGCUCUUUCGUCAGGGAAGAUAAUGACGGUACCUGAAGAAGAAGCCCCGGCUAACUUCGUGCCAGCCGCCGCCGUAAU
RNAcentral lists this ribosomal RNA (467 nucleotides) under uncultured Alphaproteobacteria bacterium. RNAcentral's name for it is "bacterial SSU rRNA". It matches the Rfam family "Bacterial small subunit ribosomal RNA", at positions 9 to 524 of the family's 1533-position model. Lineage: Bacteria; Pseudomonadati; Pseudomonadota; Alphaproteobacteria. The record is from RNAcentral.